Molecule: ribosomal RNA, 308 nt
Filed under: Levinsenia cf. kantauriensis JL-2018
Lineage: Eukaryota; Metazoa; Annelida; Polychaeta; Paraonidae
Description: partial large subunit ribosomal RNA
Rfam family: Bacterial large subunit ribosomal RNA (bases 36-308)
Source: RNAcentral
UAACUCUGUCUCUGUAUAUACUAUAAAAUUUUAUCUUUAGGUGAAAAAGCCUAAAUCAAAUUAAAAGACAAAAAGACCCUGUAGAGCCUUACUUAAAAUAACACUACAAACAUCAAAGUUUCGCCCUGUUUUUAAAGUCUAGAUGGGGCAUCGAAGGGACACCAAAAUAGCCCUUUCUCCAAAAAAAUUCCCGCAUUCCGAUCCGCCAAAGCGAUAAUAGAACCCGGUUACCUCAGGAAUAACAAACUAAUCUUCCUUAAGAGCUCGAAUUAACAGGAAGGCUUGGCACCUCGAUGUUGGCUUAGGAA